UCGAGAAUAUUCCACAAUGGGCGAAAGCCUGAUGGAGCGACACCGCGUGAAUGAUGAAGCAUUUCGGUGUGUAAAGUUCUUUUCUAUAGGAGAAAGCGCGAUAAGCGUGUGAUAGUACUAUAGGAAUAAGUGGCGGCAAACUUCGUGCCAGCAGCAGCGGUAAUACGAAGGCCACAAGCGUUAUCCGGAUUUGUUGGGCGUAAAGCGCGCGUAGGGGGCUUAGCAAGUCUGUGGUAAAAUUUCGGGGCUCAACUCCGAACCUGCCAUGGAAACUGCUUCGCUAGAGAGUGUUAGAGGCAGAUAGAACUCAUGGUGUAGGGGUGAAAUCCGUUGAUAUCAUGGGGAAUACCAAAGGCGAAGGCAUUCUGCUGGGGCAUUUCUGACCCUGAGGCGCGAAAGC
Molecule: ribosomal RNA, 400 nt
Filed under: uncultured bacterium
Lineage: Bacteria
Description: bacterial SSU rRNA
Rfam family: Bacterial small subunit ribosomal RNA
Source: RNAcentral